Molecule: ribosomal RNA, 486 nt
Filed under: uncultured bacterium
Lineage: Bacteria
Description: bacterial SSU rRNA
Rfam family: Bacterial small subunit ribosomal RNA
Source: RNAcentral
AUUGAACGCUGGCGGCAUGCCUUACACAUGCAAGUCGAACGGCAGCACGGGUGCUUGCACCUGGUGGCGAGUGGCGAACGGGUGAGUAAUACAUCGGAACGUGCCCGAGAGUGGGGGAUAACGCAGCGAAAGCUGUGCUAAUACCGCAUACGAUCUACGGAUGAAAGCAGGGGACCGCAAGGCCUUGCGCUCAUGGAGCGGCCGAUGGCAGAUUAGGUAGUUGGUGGGAUAAAAGCUUACCAAGCCGACGAUCUGUAGCUGGUCUGAGAGGACGACCAGCCACACUGGGACUGAGACACGGCCCAGACUCCUACGGGAGGCAGCAGUGGGGAAUUUUGGACAAUGGGCGAAAGCCUGAUCCAGCCAUGCCGCGUGCAGGAUGAAGGCCUUCGGGUUGUAAACUGCUUUUGUACGGAACGAAAAGGUCUUUUCUAAUAAAGAAGGCUCAUGACGGUACCGUAAGAAUAAGCACCGGCUAACUACGUG